AGUGAACGCUGGCGGUAGGCCUAACACAUGCAAGUCGAACGGCAGCACAGUAAGAGCUUGCUCUUACGGGUGGCGAGUGGCGGACGGGUGAGGAAUACAUCGGAAUCUACUUUUUCGUGGGGGAUAACGUAGGGAAACUUACGCUAAUACCGCAUACGACCUACGGGUGAAAGCAGGGGACCUUCGGACCUUGCGCGAUUGAAUGAGCCGAUGUCGGAUUAGCUAGUUGGCGGGGUAAAGGCCCACCAAGGCGACGAUCCGUAGCUGGUCUGAGAGGAUGAUCAGCCACACUGGAACUGAGACACGGUCCAGACUCCUACGGGAGGCAGCAGUGGGGAAUAUUGGACAAUGGGCGCAAGCCUGAUCCAGCCAUACCGCGUGGGUGAAGAAGGCCUUCGGGUUGUAAAGCCCUUUUGUUGGGAAAGAAAAGCAGCAGGUUAAUACCCCGCUGUUCUGACGGUACCCAAAGAAUAAGCACCGGCGAACUUCGU
RNAcentral lists this ribosomal RNA (491 nucleotides) under uncultured bacterium. RNAcentral's name for it is "partial 16S ribosomal RNA". It matches the Rfam family "Bacterial small subunit ribosomal RNA", at positions 29 to 506 of the family's 1533-position model. The record is from RNAcentral.